UCUGUAUUGGCUUUAGUUAACAUACAAUUGCGUGGAUGCUGGCUAUAAUUUUAAACUAAUACCUAUUUUCUGAUUUUUCAGAGACUAUAAUUAGGGAAAAGGUUACUAGACACCAUAUCCCAGGACCUCUGGCUUUGUACCCACAGCAGAAGUUACUGAACUUGGACUACCAAGGGAUGGCAAAGAAAUGAAGAAGUUGGUAAAUUGCAGCCACUGUGAUCCUUCUGUCGGUGUCCACAGGGGUGAAACACAUGCGAUUGAAGAUCAAAAAGUGCCACACACUUAGCAAGAACGCUAAAGAACUGAGGAGAUGUUGAGAAACCACACCAAUCACAUCCCACGGAAGCAUUUUUCAUUUCUAUCCUUCAGAGUCAGGUGAUGACUAUAUUCCUCCUUAAUGAAGACCCUCUUCUAAGCAAGAAAUGGUACCACUCUCAAGGCGGGCCUCACUCUCCAAAAAAGAUAUUCAGGACUCCCAGAGGAAUCCAACCUAUGGAACUUCACACCCCAAAACUGAGUUUUUGUGUAGAUGACCACAAUUACUUGUACAGAGGCCAUGAUUCAGUAGAAAAGUGAGUUCUCUUCUACAGGAAUACACUUCAUCAGUGAUGUGCUUUGGUGAAUAGAGACUAAAACUGGACCUAGAACCUCUGCUUUAAGAAUUAGAUAACAAAGGAAGGAAUCAAAACUCACGAGGAAAAUCCCUGGCCUCUCCAGUAUUCAGGUAAAGCUUGAUGAAGUCCUUUGUAAAUUUCCCUUUGAAUUUAUCUGCAUAGUGACCCAUAUUUGGGCAUCCUUCUUGCGGGCAUGGAAAACAUUUUCCCUAGUGAAAACAAAUAUAUCUAUUAAUAACAUUGUCCAGCCAGCCAAGAACAAAAAAUUAGUCACAGGAUGUAUUUUUAAUAUACCCCACCUAACUGGCCCUGUAUCACAGCAACAGAUUUCAAGUAACCCUUUCUACGACUUAAGAAAGAUCAUGUGAGCUAGCCAGCUUUCUCAAGUGCUCUGAUUUUUCAGGGCUCUGUGUUGCUUCUUGGGCCAUUUAGCUCAAUCCAGACACAUCAGUGCCAAUCUUGAGAAGUCUUGAACUGGAGCAGGGAGAAGAGGUGUCCUUUCCAGCAACUGAUGAGAAAGAAAGGUGUCUCUUUAUAGCUUCAGGUUGGGUCAAGAAAGGCUUUGUCUUGGAAACAAACCUCGAUUUUGUCGUGAAAGCAGCUUUCUAGUGUGGUGACAGAAGCAGGUGGUCACCUUCUCCCAAAGCAAUCUGAGAAGUGUAAUCUCUGUCACCUGCUAGAACGUGUAAAGGUCGAUCUAAACACUAUGCAAGUUUAUACCUCUGUCUGUGCUACUUGUAGGGUAUGAUGAGCCUGUCACCUUCCUGCUACUCUUAGGCUGUAAUUCUUUGUCUCCAAGUCUGGGACAGGGAAGGGCUUCCUGACCUUGUCCGUCAAGCAUUGCUUUGUC
Molecule: long non-coding RNA, 1464 nt
Organism: Myiozetetes cayanensis
Lineage: Eukaryota; Metazoa; Chordata; Aves; Passeriformes; Tyrannidae
Exons: 5
Source: RefSeq, a predicted model, not a curated record